GAUGAACGCUGGCGGCGUGCCUAAUACAUGCAAGUCGAGCGGACGAACCGAAAGCUUGCUUCUCUUUUGUUAGCGGCGGACGGGUGAGUAACACGUGGGUAACCUGCCUUUAAGACUGGGAUAACAUCGAGAAACCGGUGCUAAUACCGGAUAAUACUUAGUACCGCAUGAUUCAUCGGUGAAAGACGGUCUAGCCUUCCCUUAUAGAUUGGUCCGCGCUGCAUUAGCUAGUUGGUAAGGUAACGGCUUACCAAGGCAACGAAGCAUAGCCGACCUGAGAGGGUGAUCGGCCACACUGGGACUGAGACACGGCCCAGACUCCUACGGGAGGCAGCAGUAGGGAAUCUUCCGCAAUGGACGAAAGCCUGACGGAGCAACGCCGCGUGAGUGAAGAAGGUCUUCGGGUCGUAAAGCUCUGUUAUUAGGGAAGAACAAGUAUCGAAGUAACUGGCGUUAUCGUGACGGUACCUAACGAGAAAGCCACGGCUAACUACGUG
RNAcentral lists this ribosomal RNA (497 nucleotides) under uncultured bacterium. Its description in RNAcentral is "partial 16S ribosomal RNA". It matches the Rfam family "Bacterial small subunit ribosomal RNA", at positions 28 to 507 of the family's 1533-position model. The record is from RNAcentral.